RNAcentral lists this ribosomal RNA (2788 nucleotides) under Escherichia coli. Its description in RNAcentral is "bacterial LSU rRNA". It matches the Rfam family "Bacterial large subunit ribosomal RNA". The record is from RNAcentral. Lineage: Bacteria; Pseudomonadati; Pseudomonadota; Gammaproteobacteria; Enterobacterales; Enterobacteriaceae.
AGCGUACACGGUGGAUGCCCUGGCAGUCAGAGGCGAUGAAGGACGUGCUAAUCUGCGAUAAGCGUCGGUAAGGUGAUAUGAACCGUUAUAACCGGCGAUUUCCGAAUGGGGAAACCCAGUGUGUUUCGACACACUAUCAUUAACUGAAUCCAUAGGUUAAUGAGGCGAACCGGGGGAACUGAAACAUCUAAGUACCCCGAGGAAAAGAAAUCAACCGAGAUUCCCCCAGUAGCGGCGAGCGAACGGGGAGCAGCCCAGAGCCUGAAUCAGUGUGUGUGUUAGUGGAAGCGUCUGGAAAGGCGCGCGAUACAGGGUGACAGCCCCGUACACAAAAAUGCACAUGCUGUGAGCUCGAUGAGUAGGGCGGGACACGUGGUAUCCUGUCUGAAUAUGGGGGGACCAUCCUCCAAGGCUAAAUACUCCUGACUGACCGAUAGUGAACCAGUACCGUGAGGGAAAGGCGAAAAGAACCCCGGCGAGGGGAGUGAAAAAGAACCUGAAACCGUGUACGUACAAGCAGUGGGAGCCUCUUUAUGGGGUGACUGCGUACCUUUUGUAUAAUGGGUCAGCGACUUAUAUUCUGUAGCAAGGUUAACCGAAUAGGGGAGCCGAAGGGAAACCGAGUCUUAACUGGGCGUUAAGUUGCAGGGUAUAGACCCGAAACCCGGUGAUCUAGCCAUGGGCAGGUUGAAGGUUGGGUAACACUAACUGGAGGACCGAACCGACUAAUGUUGAAAAAUUAGCGGAUGACUUGUGGCUGGGGGUGAAAGGCCAAUCAAACCGGGAGAUAGCUGGUUCUCCCCGAAAGCUAUUUAGGUAGCGCCUCGUGAAUUCAUCUCCGGGGGUAGAGCACUGUUUCGGCAAGGGGGUCAUCCCGACUUACCAACCCGAUGCAAACUGCGAAUACCGGAGAAUGUUAUCACGGGAGACACACGGCGGGUGCUAACGUCCGUCGUGAAGAGGGAAACAACCCAGACCGCCAGCUAAGGUCCCAAAGUCAUGGUUAAGUGGGAAACGAUGUGGGAAGGCCCAGACAGCCAGGAUGUUGGCUUAGAAGCAGCCAUCAUUUAAAGAAAGCGUAAUAGCUCACUGGUCGAGUCGGCCUGCGCGGAAGAUGUAACGGGGCUAAACCAUGCACCGAAGCUGCGGCAGCGACGCUUAUGCGUUGUUGGGUAGGGGAGCGUUCUGUAAGCCUGUGAAGGUGUGCUGUGAGGCAUGCUGGAGGUAUCAGAAGUGCGAAUGCUGACAUAAGUAACGAUAAAGCGGGUGAAAAGCCCGCUCGCCGGAAGACCAAGGGUUCCUGUCCAACGUUAAUCGGGGCAGGGUGAGUCGACCCCUAAGGCGAGGCCGAAAGGCGUAGUCGAUGGGAAACAGGUUAAUAUUCCUGUACUUGGUGUUACUGCGAAGGGGGGACGGAGAAGGCUAUGUUGGCCGGGCGACGGUUGUCCCGGUUUAAGCGUGUAGGCUGGUUUUCCAGGCAAAUCCGGAAAAUCAAGGCUGAGGCGUGAUGACGAGGCACUACGGUGCUGAAGCAACAAAUGCCCUGCUUCCAGGAAAAGCCUCUAAGCAUCAGGUAACAUCAAAUCGUACCCCAAACCGACACAGGUGGUCAGGUAGAGAAUACCAAGGCGCUUGAGAGAACUCGGGUGAAGGAACUAGGCAAAAUGGUGCCGUAACUUCGGGAGAAGGCACGCUGAUAUGUAGGUGAAGUCCCUCGCGGAUGGAGCUGAAAUCAGUCGAAGAUACCAGCUGGCUGCAACUGUUUAUUAAAAACACAGCACUGUGCAAACACGAAAGUGGACGUAUACGGUGUGACGCCUGCCCGGUGCCGGAAGGUUAAUUGAUGGGGUUAGCGGUAACGCGAAGCUCUUGAUCGAAGCCCCGGUAAACGGCGGCCGUAACUAUAACGGUCCUAAGGUAGCGAAAUUCCUUGUCGGGUAAGUUCCGACCUGCACGAAUGGCGUAAUGAUGGCCAGGCUGUCUCCACCCGAGACUCAGUGAAAUUGAACUCGCUGUGAAGAUGCAGUGUACCCGCGGCAAGACGGAAAGACCCCGUGAACCUUUACUAUAGCUUGACACUGAACAUUGAGCCUUGAUGUGUAGGAUAGGUGGGAGGCUUUGAAGUGUGGACGCCAGUCUGCAUGGAGCCGACCUUGAAAUACCACCCUUUAAUGUUUGAUGUUCUAACGUUGACCCGUAAUCCGGGUUGCGGACAGUGUCUGGUGGGUAGUUUGACUGGGGCGGUCUCCUCCUAAAGAGUAACGGAGGAGCACGAAGGUUGGCUAAUCCUGGUCGGACAUCAGGAGGUUAGUGCAAUGGCAUAAGCCAGCUUGACUGCGAGCGUGACGGCGCGAGCAGGUGCGAAAGCAGGUCAUAGUGAUCCGGUGGUUCUGAAUGGAAGGGCCAUCGCUCAACGGAUAAAAGGUACUCCGGGGAUAACAGGCUGAUACCGCCCAAGAGUUCAUAUCGACGGCGGUGUUUGGCACCUCGAUGUCGGCUCAUCACAUCCUGGGGCUGAAGUAGGUCCCAAGGGUAUGGCUGUUCGCCAUUUAAAGUGGUACGCGAGCUGGGUUUAGAACGUCGUGAGACAGUUCGGUCCCUAUCUGCCGUGGGCGCUGGAGAACUGAGGGGGGCUGCUCCUAGUACGAGAGGACCGGAGUGGACGCAUCACUGGUGUUCGGGUUGUCAUGCCAAUGGCACUGCCCGGUAGCUAAAUGCGGAAGAGAUAAGUGCUGAAAGCAUCUAAGCACGAAACUUGCCCCGAGAUGAGUUCUCCCUGACUCCUUGA